CAGUCGCCACGGUAAUACGUAGGGUGCGAGCGUUAAUCGGAAUUACUGGGCGUAAAGCGUGCGCAGGCGGUUUUGUAAGACAGGCGUGAAAUCCCCGGGCUCAACCUGGGAACGGCGCUUGUGACUGCAAAGCUAGAGUGCGGCAGAGGGGGAUGGAAUUCCGCGUGUGGCAGUGAAAUGCGUAGAUAUGCGGAGGAACACCGAUGGCGAAGGCAAUCCCCUGGGCCUGCACUGACGCUCAUGCACGAAAGCGUGGGGAGCAAACAGGAUUAGAUACCCGAGUAGUCCCUGUCUCUUAUAA
This 301-nucleotide ribosomal RNA is filed under the name uncultured bacterium. RNAcentral describes it as "partial 16S ribosomal RNA". It matches the Rfam family "Bacterial small subunit ribosomal RNA", at positions 509 to 809 of the family's 1533-position model. The record is from RNAcentral.